GAUGAAGAACGCAGUGAAAUGCGAUAAGUAAUGUGAAUUGCAGAAUUCAGUGAAUCAUCGAAUCUUUGAACGCACCUUGCGCUCCUUGGUAUUCCGAGGAGCAUGCCUGUUUGAGUGUCAUUAAUAUAUCAACCUUCUCUUUUUUGAGUUGUUUGGAUGUGGGGGUUUGCUGGCCUCUUAAAUGAUUCAGCUCCCCUGAAAUGCAUUAGCAGAACAACCUGUUCAUUAGCGUGAUAAUUAUCUAUGCUAUUGAAUGUGAGGGCAGUUCAGCUUUCUAACCGUCCUUGGACAAUUCAUCAUUAAUGUGACCUCAAAUCAGGUAGGACUACCCGCUGAACUUAAGCAUAUCAUAAGCGGAGGA
This 361-nucleotide unclassified non-coding RNA is filed under the name soil metagenome. RNAcentral describes it as "partial contains 5.8S ribosomal RNA, internal transcribed spacer 2, and large subunit ribosomal RNA". The stretch from base 1 to 120 matches the Rfam family "5.8S ribosomal RNA", at positions 35 to 154 of the family's 154-position model. The record is from RNAcentral.